UACGUAGGGUGCGAGCGUUGUCCGGAAUUACUGGGCGUAAAGAGCUCGUAGGUGGUUUGUCGCGUUGUUCGUGAAAACUCACAACUCAAUUGUGGGCGUGCGGGCGAUACGGGCAGACUGGAGUACUGCAGGGGAGACUGGAAUUCCUGGUGUAGCGGUGGAAUGCGCAGAUAUCAGGAGGAACACCGAUGGCGAAGGCAGGUCUCUGGGCCGAUACUGACGCUGAGGAGCGAAAGCGUGGGGAGCGAACAGG
This 253-nucleotide ribosomal RNA is filed under the name uncultured bacterium. Its description in RNAcentral is "partial 16S ribosomal RNA". It matches the Rfam family "Bacterial small subunit ribosomal RNA", at positions 524 to 776 of the family's 1533-position model. The record is from RNAcentral.